CCUACGGGUGGCAGCAGUAGGGAAUCUUCCACAAUGGACGAAAGUCUGAUGGAGCAACGCCGCGUGAGUGCCGCAGGGUUUCGGCUCGUCACGCUCUGUUUUUCUUUAAGAAAGAUAGAGGUAGUAACUGGCCUUUAUUUGACGGUAAUUACUUAGAAAGUCACGGCUAACUACGUGCCAGCAGCCGCGGUAAUACGUAGGUGGCAAGCGUUGUCCGGAUUUAUUGGGCGUAAAGCGAGUGCAGGCGGUUCAAUAAGUCUGAUGUGAAAGCCUUCGGCUCAACCGGAGAAUUGCAUCAGAAACUGUUGAACUUGAGUGCAGAAGAGGAGAGUGGAACUCAAUGUGUAGCGGUGGAAUGCGUAGAUAUAUGGAAGAACACCAGUGGCGAAGGCGGCUCUCUGGUCUGCAACUGACGCUGAGGCUCGAAAGCAUGGGUAGCGAACAGGAUUAGAUAAACGAGUAGUC
This 465-nucleotide ribosomal RNA is filed under the name uncultured bacterium. RNAcentral describes it as "partial 16S ribosomal RNA". It matches the Rfam family "Bacterial small subunit ribosomal RNA", at positions 338 to 795 of the family's 1533-position model. The record is from RNAcentral.